This 403-nucleotide ribosomal RNA is filed under the name Verrucomicrobiota bacterium. RNAcentral describes it as "Verrucomicrobia bacterium partial 16S ribosomal RNA". It matches the Rfam family "Bacterial small subunit ribosomal RNA", at positions 355 to 776 of the family's 1533-position model. Lineage: Bacteria; Pseudomonadati; Verrucomicrobiota. The record is from RNAcentral.
UGGGGAAUAUUGCGCAAUGGGGGAAACCCUGACGCAGCAACGCCGCGUGAACGAUGAAGGUCUUCGGAUCGUAAAGUUCUGUUGCAGGGGAAGAUAAUGACGGUACCCUGUGAGGAAGCCCCGGCUAACUACGUGCCAGCAGCCGCGGUAAUACGUAGGGGGCUAGCGUUAUCCGGAUUUACUGGGCGUAAAGGGUGCGUAGGUGGUCUUUCAAGUCGGUGGUUAAAGGCUACGGCUCAACCGUAGUUAGCCUCCGAAACUGGAAGACUUGAGUGCAGGAGAGGAAAGUGGAAUUCCCAGUGUAGCGGUGAAAUGCGUAGAUAUUGGGAGGAACACCAGUAGCGAAGGCGGCUUUCUGGACUGCAACUGACACUGAGGCACGAAAGCGUGGGUAGCAAACAGG